GUCUAAUCUGCCCACUGAAAAUUUUAAAGGGCCGCAGUAUUUUAACUGUGCUAAGGUAGCAUAAUCAAUAGUUUUUUAAUUGAAAGCUGGAAUGAAUGAUUGGACAAAAAAUAAUCUGUCUUUUUAUUAAAUUUUGAAUUUUACUUUUAAGUGAAAAGGCUUAAAUACAUUAAAGGGACGAUAAGACCCUAUAAAAUUUUACAAAGAUAUUAAUUUUUAUUAUAAAAAUAUUUUAAUUUUAUUAAUUGAUAAUUUGUUUAGCUGGGGCGGCGCUAAUAUAAGUUAGGUUUAACUGUUAAUAAAGUUUAAUACUGAUAAGUAGAAUGAUGAUCUUUAUUAAAGAUUAAAAGAUUAAGUUACUUUAGGGAUAACAGCGUAAUUUUUCUUGAGAGCUCCUAUCGACAGAAAAAGUUGCGACCUCGAUGUUGAAUUAAGAUAUUUUUUAAAAGUAGAUUUUUAAUUAAUUAGUUUGUUCAACUAU
RNAcentral lists this ribosomal RNA (481 nucleotides) under Anachlorocurtis commensalis. RNAcentral's name for it is "partial 16S ribosomal RNA". It matches the Rfam family "Bacterial large subunit ribosomal RNA", at positions 1852 to 2588 of the family's 2925-position model. Lineage: Eukaryota; Metazoa; Arthropoda; Malacostraca; Decapoda; Pandalidae. The record is from RNAcentral.